RNAcentral lists this unclassified non-coding RNA (4938 nucleotides) under Hevea brasiliensis (rubber tree). Lineage: Eukaryota; Viridiplantae; Streptophyta; Magnoliopsida; Malpighiales; Euphorbiaceae. The record is from RNAcentral.
GGAAAUUUCUUUCAGCAGAAUCGAAGUUGCAUGAUGCAAUUGGCAUGUGAAAGAUAUGGACACAAAAGAUUAAUUAUCUUACAGAGAACAGCCGAGUCAAACUUGUACCCAUAUCAAAAGACAACUUGGAGGACCAAAUUAAUUUCCACGGUGACCAGUGCAACUGCAACCCAAACUGUUAGUGAUAGGCAUUUUGCAGGAAUUCCAAGCACUCCAAUCAGCUAUUGAUGAAUCGCAUCCAAUAAAAUUAUUGUUUCUUUUGACAUUUUCCAAUCUUAAUGACAAACAUCAUCUAUCAGAAUUCUGAUUUGACGAUAUAUUAACUGUUUCUACUUAUUGAAAACGAAGAUCAAUGAUACUUCUUCUUAGCAGAUACAGUUUGCACAUCAUAUGCUGAUACUAGUUUAACAACACGAAACUAGCAGAUAUCAGCAGGUUUUAUCCUGACAGUGAUAAAGCCAAAGCUACCUUGACUCCAGCGCAUCAUCUUCUUUAUCUUUGACAGGAGGAUGUCUGUAUAUUGCAGGAACGGUAGAAGGGAAGAACAUUUGUCUCACUCCUUCUGCUUUGAUAAUGGGGAAAAUAAUACCUGAUGCACUCUGCAAGAGGGCAAGUCACUCACUAAGAAUUAAAGAAUUUCAUCAUAUAAAGAACUGAAAUAUACUCUUCAUUUAUUUUAUUGCUGUUAUGUGCCAUUUGACAUGGAGUUCAUUUGAUUGGAAAUAGCAAGCCAAAUAAAAGAACGAGUAGCGUGUCUAAAUUGGUAGGCAAGGCUUGGUAAUGAUUUGAAGAAAUUUAGAAAGAAUCCAGCAGUGAACUUAGUAACUUACUACCACUGCUUAUGUCACAUUCCUAACCAUAAUUUUAUAGAAUAAUAGAUAAGCAGAAAAGAUUGUAACGCGCGUAAAUUCUUAAUGGUGGACAAUAAUAAAGAAAAGAAAAGAAUAAAGAAAAGAAAAGAAAAAAGAAAUUAGUUUCAUUUUCUUUACUGAUUCAAUUAGCCAUAAUUAUGUUUAAGAACUUGUUUUUGUGUUUGUUGCUAUCUGCGCGAAGUAGCUGAUUCUUACAGCUUUUAUCGACACCAGAGAUAAAAGUAGGUCUUGAACUGUAGAUACAGCUUCAUUUUGUCUACCAGAGCAAGAUGCAAGACAUGGGUAGAGAAGAUCAUCAUCAUCACCAGCAUCAUCAUUCUGAUACAGAGCUCUUAUCUGGUGAAAGGGUACCUUACACUGGUCCCUUAAGCGGACCUCUUAACAAGAGAGGAACAAGAAAGAGCGCCAGGUUCAACAUCCCAGAGUCCAGUUCAGCCCAGGAUGAACAAUACGUGGAGGUCACCCUGGAUCUCCGCGAUGAUUCUGUGGCUGUCCACAGUGUGAAAGCAGCAAAUGGUAUGGAAGAAGAUCCAGAAGUGUCACUACUUGCCAAAGGUCUGGAGAAAAGAUCUACCUCAAAAGUUAUGAGGAAUGCUUCUGCCAGGAUCAGGCAGGUUUCCCAGGAAUUAAAGCGAAUUACUUCAUUCUCCAAGAGACCUCCUCCUCCGGGUCGCCUCGACAGGAACAAAUCUGCGGCUGCUCAUGCUUUGAAAGGACUUAAGUUUAUCAGCAAGACUGAUGGAGGUGCAGGGUGGGCCGCCGUGGAGAAGCGGUUCCAUGAAAUUACUUCUUCCACGGAUGGGUUGCUUCCCCGCUCACGAUUCUGUGAAUGCAUAGGAAUGAAGGAAUCUAAGGAAUUCGCAGGGGAGUUGUUUGAUGCACUUGCAAGGAAGAGGAAUAUAGAAGGUGAUUCAAUCAGUAUGGCUGAGUUGCAGGAAUUCUGGGAACAGAUUUCCGACCAGAGCUUCGAUUCCAGGCUUCAAACUUUCUUUGACAUGGUUGAUAAAGAUGCGGAUGGUAGAAUCACAGAAGAGGAAGUCAGAGAGAUUAUUACCCUUAGCGCUUCUGCAAAUAAACUCUCAAACAUCCAAAAACAAGCAGAGGAGUAUGCAGCCUUGAUCAUGGAAGAGCUGGAUCCAGAAAAUCAUGGAUAUAUCAUGAUAGAGAACCUGGAAAUGCUUCUAUUGCAAGGACCAAACCAAUCUGUAAGAGUAGGAGAGAGCAAAAACCUGAGCAAAAUGCUUAGCCAGAAGCUUAAGCCAACACUGGAUGACAACCCAAUAACGAGAUGGUGUAGAAGCAUCAAGUAUUUCAUUUUAGACAACUGGCAGAGAGUGUGGGUGAUAGCUCUUUGGAUUGGGGUUAUGGCUGGCCUAUUUGCCUGGAAGUAUGUGCAGUAUCGACGCAGAGCAGCCUAUGUGGUAAUGCGCGAAUGCGUCUGUAUCGCCAAGGGAGGAGCUGAGACACUGAAAUUGAAUAUGGCUUUAAUAUUACUACCAGUCUGCAGAAACACCAUCACCUGGCUCAGGAAUAAGACCAAGUUGGGUGUUGUGGUUCCUUUUGAUGACAACCUCAAUUUCCACAAGGUGAUAGCAGUUGGGAUUACAAUUGGAGUUGGUCUGCAUGGAAUUUCUCAUUUAACCUGUGACUUCCCGCGGCUUCUUCAAGCAAAUGAAGAGAAAUGGAAGCUUAUGCAGCCAUUUUUUGGGGAUCAACCUUCAAGCUACUGGCAUUUUGUGAAGGAAGUGGAGGGAGUGACUGGGAUCAUAAUGGUGAUAUUGAUGGCAAUAGCCUUUACACUAGCUACCCCCUGGUUCAGGCGUAACAGGCUCAAUUUGCCCCCUUUCCUCAAGAAGCUCACUGGCUUCAAUGCCUUUUGGUACUCUCACCAUCUCUUCAUCAUUGUCUACGCCCUGCUCAUUGUGCAUGGUCAUUACCUCUACUUGACUGAUAAAUGGUACAAGAAAACGACCUGGAUGUAUUUGGCUAUUCCUAUAAUCCUUUAUGCCAGUGAAAGAUUGACUAGGGCACUAAGAUCCAGCAUCAAGCCUGUUACCAUCAAAAAGGUGGCUAUUUAUCCUGGAAAUGUGUUGGCACUUCACAUGUCAAAGCCUCAGGGAUUUAGAUACAAGAGUGGGCAAUACAUGUUUGUUAACUGUGCUGCUGUCUCUCCAUUUGAAUGGCACCCAUUUUCCAUCACUUCUGCUCCUGGAGAUGACUAUCUUAGUGUUCACAUUAGAACCUUGGGUGAUUGGACAAGGCAACUCAAAACAAUAUUCUCACAGGUUUGCCAACCACCUGACACUGGGAAAAGUGGACUUCUCAGAGCUGAGGGCUUACAAGGAAACAACAAUCCAAUUUGGUGAGUUCUUUUAUUUUGGGUAAAAUGUCAGUCUAUCCACAUCACUGGAUCAAAGAUAAAUUUUAAAGAAAACCCAGAUGUAUUUUCUGAACAAGUAGUAUUAUAAACACUUCAAAAGGAAUCCAAAGGUAGAGAGGGUGAGUAGUUCAUUCUGUAUACUUGACAAGCAAGACAUUAGGUCAACUUCUAAUUUAGGCGUGAAUCUUGGGUGAUUGGGUGCAAAAAUCUCUCUACUGAUAUACCCACCCUAGAAGAGCAAGUGAUCUCCCUUGAAUUUUGUGUGCCCAGCCAAGGUAGUUAGCUGUAGGGGUCUUAUCCUUUCAGUAUACAUAAGGGCAUGGGGUAAGAAUAAAGAAUGCAUCAUUUGUUUAUGGAAUAAUUAGGGACACCAUAAAGAAGACAAAAAACUACCAAGAAAAAUGGCCCUUCACCUAUAUUGAUGACCCACCACCUAAUUGCAAGAAUUACAGAACAUUGUCCACCUAAGGGUGCUCUUGGUAGCUAAAUUCCACCAGAUCUUUGGCCUUAUGUGUCUGCGAUGAGAUAUCACACCAGAAGACAAAUAGGAUUGGCAUCUUUGACAGAUUCGUAUUUUCCUGAUUAAUUGCACCACAUGUAUAUGGCUUGAUUAGUUUGACAAAUUAUUGUCCAUGCACUUAAUAGUCAACCCACAUGGCCAAAGAUUGCAAAUUAGAAGAUUAUUUUCCUUUAAAUUCAAUAAUCCAUUAAUUAAACAUAAACAACACACCAAAAUUGAUGAUUAAAUUUUACAUUACAAGCUAAUCCAUUUUGCUCCAAUAAUAGUAUGGAGUAGGGAUAUCUAACAAACGCUCGCACAUGGCUUUGUGUUAAAGUAAAAAAAUGAUUGCCCUUUCAUGUCAUUGAUAUUUUUGGCAAAAUAUAUUUUCUUGCUUCUUCCACUGAAAAAAAGUCUCUUGCUUAGAUAGUAUAAGCCUGUAUGAUAAUGUAAAUGACCUAUUCCUCUAACAACUAUAUGGUAAUGAUGGUGAUGAACAGUUUUCCAAGAGUUUUGAUUGAUGGUCCAUAUGGAGCACCAGCACAAGACUACAAAGAGUAUGAGGUGGUUCUGCUUGUGGGUCUAGGAAUUGGAGCAACCCCAAUGAUAAGCAUUGUGAAGGACAUAGUGAGCAACAUAAGGGCCUUGGAAGAAGGAGAGGGUGCACUAGAAGAUGGCACAUUGCCAAAAACACCUACUCCUAAUACUGCACUGAGAAGAAAAGAUAACUUCAAGACAAGCAGGGCAUACUUUUAUUGGGUAACAAGGGAACAAGGGUCCUUCGACUGGUUUAAAGGGGUGAUGAAUGAAGUGGCUGAACUAGACCACAACCAUGUCAUAGAGCUCCAUAACUAUUGCACUAGUGUUUACGAAGAAGGAGAUGCAAGGUCUGCCCUAAUUGCCAUGCUUCAAUCCCUCCAUCAUGCCAAGAAUGGUGUUGAUAUUGUCUCUGGAACUCGAGUCAAGUCCCACUUUGCCAAGCCCAAUUGGAGGAAUGUCUACAAAAGCAUUGCCCUUAACCACCCCAAUUCUCGAGUUGGGGUGUUUUAUUGUGGGGCACCAGCGCUUACAAAAGAGCUACGUCACCUAGCUUUGGAUUUCUCACACAAAACAAACACCAAGUUUGAUUUUCACAAAGAAAAUUUCUAAUUUUCAAAGGAUGAGAAGAGAAAUAGAGAGAGAGAGAA